This 450-nucleotide ribosomal RNA is filed under the name uncultured bacterium. RNAcentral describes it as "partial 16S ribosomal RNA". It matches the Rfam family "Bacterial small subunit ribosomal RNA", at positions 354 to 796 of the family's 1533-position model. The record is from RNAcentral.
GUGGGGAAUUUUGGACAAUGGGCGCAAGCCUGAUCCAGCAAUGCCGCGUGCAGGAAGAAGGCCUUCGGGUUGUAAACUGCUUUUGUACGGAACGAAACGGUCCGGGUUAAUACCCUGGGCUAAUGACGGUACCGUAAGAAUAAGCACCGGCUAACUACGUGCCAGCAGCCGCGGUAAUACGUAGGGUGCAAGCGUUAAUCGGAAUUACUGGGCGUAACGCGUGCGCAGGCGGUUUUGUAAGACAGGCGUGAAAUCCCCGGGCUCAACCUGGGAAUUGCGCUUGUGACUGCAAGGCUGGAGUGCGGCAGAGGGGGAUGGAAUUCCGCGUGUAGCAGUGAAAUGCGUAGAUAUGCGGAGGAACACCGAUGGCGAAGGCAAUCCCCUGGGCCUGCACUGACGCUCAUGCACGAAAGCGUGGGGAGCAAACAGGAUUAGAUACCCGGGUAGUCC